AAAUUGAAGAGUUUGAUCAUGGCUCAGAUUGAACGCUGGCGGCAGGCCUAACACAUGCAAGUCGAACGGUAACAGGAAGCAGCUUGCUGCUUUGCUGACGAGUGGCGGACGGGUGAGUAAUGUCUGGGAAACUGCCUGAUGGAGGGGGAUAACUACUGGAAACGGUAGCUAAUACCGCAUAAUGUCGCAGGACCAAAGAGGGGGACCUUCGGGCCUCUUGCCAUCAGAUGUGCCCAGAUGGGAUUAGCUUGUUGGUGAGGUAACGGCUCACCAAGGCGACGAUCCCUAGCUGGUCUGAGAGGAUGACCAGCCACACUGGAACUGAGACACGGUCCAGACUCCUACGGGAGGCAGCAGUGGGGAAUAUUGCACAAUGGGCGCAAGCCUGAUGCAGCCAUGCCGCGUGUAUGAAGAAGGCCUUCGGGUUGUAAAGUACUUUCAGCGGGGAGGAAGGGGAUAAGGCUAAUAACCUUGUU
This 476-nucleotide ribosomal RNA is filed under the name Salmonella enterica. RNAcentral's name for it is "bacterial SSU rRNA". It matches the Rfam family "Bacterial small subunit ribosomal RNA", at positions 1 to 473 of the family's 1533-position model. The record is from RNAcentral. Lineage: Bacteria; Pseudomonadati; Pseudomonadota; Gammaproteobacteria; Enterobacterales; Enterobacteriaceae. RNAcentral also lists the same sequence under 2 other names.